This 112-nucleotide ribosomal RNA is filed under the name Pogona vitticeps (central bearded dragon). Lineage: Eukaryota; Metazoa; Chordata; Lepidosauria; Squamata; Agamidae. The record is from RNAcentral.
UGUAGCUCCCACUGUCCCAUCUGGUUUUAUCUGAAUUUGGAAGCUAAGCAGGGUCAGGCCUAGUUAUGACUUGGAUGGGUGACUACCAGAAACUCCCAGGUAGGACUUAGGA